CUGGAGGUAUCAGAAGUGCGAAUGCUGACAUAAGUAACGAUAAAGCGGGUGAAAAGCCCGCUCGCCGGAAGACCAAGGGUUCCUGUCCAACGUUAAUCGGGGCAGGGUGAGUCGACCCCUAAGGCGAGGCCGAAAGGCGUAGUCGAUGGGAAACAGGUUAAUAUUCCUGUACUUGGUGUUACUGCGAAGGGGGGACGGAGAAGGCUAUGUUGGCCGGGCGACGGUUGUCCCGGUUUAAGCGUGUAGGCUGGUUUUCCAGGCAAAUCCGGAAAAUCAAGGCUGAGGCGUGAUGACGAGGCACUACGGUGCUGAAGCAACAAAUGCCCUGCUUCCAGGAAAAGCCUCUAAGCAUCAGGUAACAUCAAAUCGUACCCCAAACCGACACAGGUGGUCAGGUAGAGAAUACCAAGGCGCUUGAGAGAACUCGGGUGAAGGAACUAGGCAAAAUGGUGCCGUAACUUCGGGAGAAGGCACGCUGAUAUGUAGGUGAAGUCCCUCGCGGAUGGAGCUGAAAUCAGUCGAAGAUACCAGCUGGCUGCAACUGUUUAUUAAAAACACAGCACUGUGCAAACACGAAAGUGGACGUAUACGGUGUGACGCCUGCCCGGUGCCGGAAGGUUAAUUGAUGGGGUUAGCCGCAAGGCGAAGCUCUUGAUCGAAGCCCCGGUAAACGGCG
Molecule: ribosomal RNA, 676 nt
Filed under: Escherichia coli
Lineage: Bacteria; Pseudomonadati; Pseudomonadota; Gammaproteobacteria; Enterobacterales; Enterobacteriaceae
Description: partial 23S ribosomal RNA
Rfam family: Bacterial large subunit ribosomal RNA
Source: RNAcentral